GUUAGUAUGUAACAUGGGGUAACAGGAUGGGUGUAAUAAGUCAUAUGUAAUGAUGUGUGUUAGUAUGUAACAUGAUGUGUGUAAUAAGUAAUAUGUAAUGAUGUGUGUUAGUAUGUAACAUGAUGUGUGUUAGUAUGUAACAUGGGGUAACAUGAUGGGUGUAAUAAGUAAUAUGUAAUGAUGUGUGUUAGUAUGUAACAUGAUGUGUGUUAGUAUGUAACAUGGGGUAACAUGAUGGGUGUAAUAAGUCAUAUGUAAUGAUGUGUGUUAGUAUGUAACAUGGGGUAACACGAUUGGUGUAAUAAGUCAUAUGUAAUGAUGUGUGUUAGUAUGUAACAUGGGGUAAUGUGAUGGGUGUAAUAAGUCAUAUGUAAUGAUGUGUGUUAGUAUGUAACAUGGGGUAAUGUGAUGGGUGUAAUAAGUCAUAUGUAAUGAUGUGUGUUAGUAUGUAACAUGGGGUAACAUGAUGGGUGUAAUAAGUAAUAUGUAAUGAUGUGUGUUAGUAUGUAACAUGAUGUGUGUUAGUAUGUAACAUGAUGUGUG
Non-coding RNA from Pelobates cultripes (western spadefoot toad), 543 nucleotides. Lineage: Eukaryota; Metazoa; Chordata; Amphibia; Anura; Pelobatidae. The record is from the annotation of a GenBank genome assembly.